UAAUACAGAGGGUGCAAGCGUUAAUCGGAAUUACUGGGCGUAAAGGGUGCGUAGGUGGUUUGCCAAGUCAGAUGUGAAAGCCCUGGGCUCAACCUGGGAACUGCAUUUGAUACUAGCGAACUAGAGUAUGGUAGAGGGAAGUGGAAUUUCCGGUGUAGCGGUGAAAUGCGUAGAUAUCGGAAGGAACACCAGUGGCGAAGGCGGCUUCCUGGACCAUUACUGACACUGAGGCACGAAAGCGUGGGGAGCAAACAGGAUUAGAUACCCUGGUAGUCCACGCCGUAAACGAUGAGAACUAGAUGUUAGGGGGCUUGACCUCUUAGUAUCGAAGCAAACGCGUUAAGUUCUCCGCCUGGGGAGUACGGUCGCAAGAUUA
RNAcentral lists this ribosomal RNA (376 nucleotides) under uncultured bacterium. RNAcentral's name for it is "bacterial SSU rRNA". It matches the Rfam family "Bacterial small subunit ribosomal RNA", at positions 521 to 896 of the family's 1533-position model. The record is from RNAcentral.